GAUGAACGCUGGCGGCGUGCCUAGUACAUGCAAGUCGAGCGAACGGACGAGAAGCUUGCUUCUCUGAUGUUAGCGGCGGACGGGUGAGUAACACGUGGAUAACCUACCUAUAAGACUGGGAUAACUUCGGGAAACCGGAGCUAAUACCGGAUAAUAUUUUGAACCGCAUGGUUCAAAAGUGAAAGACGGUCUUGCUGUCACUUAUAGAUGGAUCCGCGCUGCAUUAGCUAGUUGGUAAGGUAACGGCUUACCAAGGCAACGAUGCAUAGCCGACCUGAGAGGGUGAUAGGCCACACUGGAACUGAGACACGGUCCAGACUCCUACGGGAGGCAGCAGUAGGGAAUCUUCCGCAAUGGGCGAAAGCCUGACGGAGCAACGCCGCGUGAGUGAUGAAGGUCUUCGGAUCGUAAAACUCUGUUAUUAGGGAAGAACAUAUGUGUAAGUAACUGUGCACAUCUUGACGGUACCUAAUCAGAAAGCCACGGCUAACUACGUG
RNAcentral lists this ribosomal RNA (497 nucleotides) under uncultured bacterium. RNAcentral's name for it is "partial 16S ribosomal RNA". It matches the Rfam family "Bacterial small subunit ribosomal RNA", at positions 28 to 507 of the family's 1533-position model. The record is from RNAcentral.